AGACCCGAAACCCGGUGAUCUAGCCAUGGGCAGGUUGAAGGUUGGGUAACACUAACUGGAGGACCGAACCGACUAAUGUUGAAAAAUUAGCGGAUGACCUGUGGCUGGGGGUGAAAGGCCAAUCAAACCGGGAGAUAGCUGGUUCUCCCCGAAAGCUAUUUAGGUAGCGCCUCGUGAAUUCAUCUCCGGGGGUAGAGCACUGUUUCGGCUAGGGGGCCAUCCCGGCUUACCAACCCGAUGCAAACUGCGAAUACCGGAGAAUGUUAUCACGGGAGACACACGGCGGGUGCUAACGUCCGUCGUGAAGAGGGAAACAACCCAGACCGCCAGCUAAGGUCCCAAAGUCAUGGUUAAGUGGGAAACGAUGUGGGAAGGCCCAGACAGCCAGGAUGUUGGCUUAGAAGCAGCCAUCAUUUAAAGAAAGCGUAAUAGCUCACUGGUCGAGUCGGCCUGCGCGGAAGAUGUAACGGGGCUAAACCAUGCACCGAAGCUGCGGCAGCGACGCUGAUGCGUUGUUGGGUAGGGGAGCGUUCUGUAAGCCUGCGAAGGUGACCUGUGAGGGUUGCUGGAGGUAUCAGAAGUGCGAAUGCUGACAUAAGUAACGAUAAAGCGGGUGAAAAGCCCGCUCGCCGGAAGACCAAGGGUUCCUGUCCAACGUUAAUCGGGGCAGGGUGAGUCGACCCCUAAGGCGAGGCCGAAAGGCGUAGUCGAUGGGAAACGGGU
This 723-nucleotide ribosomal RNA is filed under the name Salmonella enterica subsp. enterica serovar Typhimurium str. SL1344. RNAcentral's name for it is "partial 23S ribosomal RNA". It matches the Rfam family "Bacterial large subunit ribosomal RNA", at positions 711 to 1430 of the family's 2925-position model. Lineage: Bacteria; Pseudomonadati; Pseudomonadota; Gammaproteobacteria; Enterobacterales; Enterobacteriaceae. The record is from RNAcentral.